CGGGAGGGGAGAGUGGGCGCCAUCUUGUUCGGGCUCACUGAGGGUUCUGCCUGUUCAGUGGAGGCUGCUGCGAAGAGUGCCCCAGCCCCUGGCCUGUGUGUCCGAGUCGGAGCAGUGUUAAGUUGCUUUUACAGAAUUAACAGGUCUCCAAGAAAUAAAAAGAACAGGUCAUUAU
This 175-nucleotide long non-coding RNA is filed under the name Urocitellus parryii (Arctic ground squirrel). Its description in RNAcentral is "lncRNA (ENSUPAG00010014124.1)". The record is from RNAcentral. Lineage: Eukaryota; Metazoa; Chordata; Mammalia; Rodentia; Sciuridae.